CCUCAGUUUUUCUAUGAUAAUUUGUCCAAUACAUUUCUUCUUACUCAGUGGACAGAGUGGUUCUGGAAAGACUGAAGCUAUGAAGCAAAUAGUCCAUUACCUCAGCUCAAUCUAUCAGGACAGAAAUGACAACCUAAGACAGCCGAUGGAAGUCUUUCCCAUCUUGGAAAGCUUUGGGAAUGCCAAGACUAUUCUUAACAACAACUCCAGCCGAUUUGGCAAGUACCUUCACAUUCACAUACUCCAUGGAGUUGUUGUAGGAACCUCACUGUCUAACUAUCUCUUGGAGAAGUCCAGGGUUGUCUUUCAGGUAAGUUCACUGAGUGCUU
Molecule: long non-coding RNA, 329 nt
Organism: Poecilia latipinna (sailfin molly)
Lineage: Eukaryota; Metazoa; Chordata; Actinopteri; Cyprinodontiformes; Poeciliidae
Exons: 3
Source: RefSeq, a predicted model, not a curated record